GGAUCUGUAGUUGAUAAACAACAUUAAAUUGCAAAUUUAAAAGAGUAACAUAUACCAGAUCUU
RNAcentral lists this transfer RNA (63 nucleotides) under Glycera tridactyla. RNAcentral describes it as "tRNA-Cys". Lineage: Eukaryota; Metazoa; Annelida; Polychaeta; Phyllodocida; Glyceridae. The record is from RNAcentral.